RNAcentral lists this unclassified non-coding RNA (320 nucleotides) under Hevea brasiliensis (rubber tree). The record is from RNAcentral. Lineage: Eukaryota; Viridiplantae; Streptophyta; Magnoliopsida; Malpighiales; Euphorbiaceae.
GGAAGCUUCCUUAGUAAAGGCAAAACAGAAUCAAUCACAAAGAUUAUACUCUCCAAAAGCUGGGCAGCAACUCGAUUAUCAGCCUGACUCUUCAAAUAAGGUUGUAGCGUGAUCACAAACUGGGAAGGAUCAGAAGCUGGUGCACAUAGAGUAGGAUCAACAACACAAAAGGCAUGCAAGAGCCUCAUGUAUGGUAGCAUAAGCACCUCUCCUUCUCCCGUAUUCAUCUCUAUCACCUGCAGUAUUUUCUCAAGUAAGCACUUGCACAUCAACUCGCAGCGCCUACGGACUGAGGCAAGGGACGCGGGGUUGAUACCGAC